GAAUUCUUGGUGUAGCAGUGAAAUGCGUGGAUAUCAAGAGGAACACUCGUGGCGNNNNCGAGCUACUGGACAACUNNUGACGCUGAGGCUCGAAGGCCAGGGUAGCGAAAGGGAUUAGAUACCCCUGUAGUCCUGGCAGUAAGCGGUGCACGCUUGGUGUGAGGGGAAUCGACCCCCCUUGUGCCGGAGCAAACGCGUUAAGCGUGCCGCCUGGGAAGUACGGUCGCAAGACUAAAACUCAAAGAAAUUGACGGGGACCCGCACAAGCGGUGGAGUAUGUGGCUUAAUUCGAUGCAACGCGAAGAACCUUACCAAGGCUUGACAUGGAUUUCUAAGCACGUGAAAGCGUGUGACCCUUCGGGGAACUUCCACAGGUGCUGCAUGGCCGUCGUCAGCUCGUGUCGUGAGAUGUUGGGUUAAGUCCCGCAACGAGCGCAACCCUUGUGACUAGUUGCCAGCGCGUAAUGGCGGGAACUCUAGUCAGACUGCCCAGAUCAACUGGGAGGAAGGUGGGGACGACGUCAGGUCAGUAUGGCCCUUACGCCUUGGGCUGCACACGUACUACAAUGCCCAGUACAAUGAGAACCGAGACCGCGAGGUGGAGGAAAUCUAUAAAACUGGGCCCAGUUCGGAUUGGAGGCUGCAACUCGCCUCCAUGAAGUUGGAAUCGCUAGUAAUGGCGCAUCAUCUACGGCGCCGUGAAUACGUUCCCGGGUCUUGUACACACCGCCCGUCACAUCAUGGAAGCCGGUCGCACCCGAAGCGCAUGUACCAACCGCAAGGAGGUAGUGUUCUAAGGUGUAGCUGGUAACUGGGAUGAAGUCGUAACAAGGUAGCCG
RNAcentral lists this ribosomal RNA (839 nucleotides) under uncultured bacterium. RNAcentral describes it as "bacterial SSU rRNA". It matches the Rfam family "Bacterial small subunit ribosomal RNA", at positions 664 to 1502 of the family's 1533-position model. The record is from RNAcentral.